This 1831-nucleotide ribosomal RNA is filed under the name human metagenome. RNAcentral's name for it is "bacterial LSU rRNA". It matches the Rfam family "Bacterial large subunit ribosomal RNA", at positions 984 to 2841 of the family's 2925-position model. The record is from RNAcentral.
UCAGACUGCACGAGAUAAGUUGGGUAGUCAAAAGGGAAAGAGCCCAGACCUACAGCUAAGGUCCCAAAGUAUGUGUUCAGUGGAAAAGGAUGUGAGAUUUCAGAGACAACUAGGAUGUUGGCUUAGAAGCAGCCACACAUUCAAAGAGUGCGUAAUAGCUCACUAGUCGAGAGGUCUUGCGCCGAAAAUGUCCGGGGCUAAAACACAACACCGAAGCUUAGGAAUGUAGCAAUACAUUGGUAGAGGAGCAUUUUUAUAGGCGUAGAAGCUGUACCGAUAAGGAGCAGUGGAGUAAUAAAAAGAGAGAAUGCCGGAAUGAGUAGCGAGAUGAAGGUGAGAAUCCUUCAGGCCGAAUAUCUAAGGUUUCCAGAGUAAAGCUGAUCUGCUCUGGGUAAGUCGGGACCUAAGGCAAGGUCGAAAGACGUAGUCGAUGGACAACAGGUUUAGAUUCCUGUACCGCUUAUUAUCAGAAAUGUGGGGACACAGAGACGUAUCCAAACCCAGGAAUGCAAAGACUGGGGCAAGCCAAGUACUGGUAUGGCAGGAAAAUCCGCCAUGCAACAGGAAUAGGUGAUGCGGACCGAAAUCAAGUAGGGAAGUUGGAGAAGGAGCUGUCAAGAAAAGCCGCUAUUGUGUAAUAAGUGCCCGUACCGUAAACCGACACAGGUGGAUGAGGAGAGAAUCCUAAGGCCGGCGGGAGAAGCAUUGUUAAGGAACUCGGCAAAAUGACCCCGUAACUUCGGGAGAAGGGGUGCCAUCCUCCGGGAUGGCCACAGAAAAUAGGCUCAAGCAACUGUUUAGCAAAAACACAGGUCUAUGCGAAACCGAAAGGUGAGGUAUAUGGGCUGACGCCUGCCCGGUGCUGGAAGGUUAAGAGGAGAAGUCAGGCAACGAAGCUUUGAAUUGAAGCCCCAGUAAACGGCGGCCGUAACUAUAACGGUCCUAAGGUAGCGAAAUUCCUUGUCGGGUAAGUUCCGACCCGCACGAAAGGCGUAAUGAUUUGAGCGCUGUCUCAACAAUGCACCCGGUGAAAUUGAAGUACCAGUGAAGAUGCUGGUUACCUGCGCCAGGACGGAAAGACCCCAUGGAGCUUUACUCUAGUUUGAUACUGGGAUUCGAUUAUACCUGUACAGGAUAGGUGGGAGGCGAAGAAGCAAGGACGCCAGUCUUUGCAGAGCCGCUGUUGGGAUACCACCCUUGUAUGAUUGGAUUUCUAACCUGCGCCCGUGAUCCGGGUGGGGGACACUGUCAGAUGGGGAGUUUGACUGGGGCGGUCGCCUCCGAAAGGGUAUCGGAGGCGCUCAAAGGUUCCCUCAGAAUGGUCGGAAACCAUUCAAAGAGUGCAAAGGCAGAAGGGAGCUUGACUGCGACACCGACGGGUGGAGCAGGUACGAAAGUAGGACUUAGUGAUCCGGUGGUAUAAAGUGGGAUUGCCAUCGCUCAACGGAUAAAAGCUACCCUGGGGAUAACAGGCUUAUCACUCCCAAGAGUUCACAUCGACGGAGUGGUUUGGCACCUCGAUGUCGGCUCAUCGCAUCCUGGGGCUGAAGUCGGUCCCAAGGGUUGGGCUGUUCGCCCAUUAAAGCGGUACGCGAGCUGGGUUCAGAACGUCGUGAGACAGUUCGGUCCCUAUCCGGCGUGGGCGUAAGAUAUUUGAGAGGAGCUGUCCUUAGUACGAGAGGACCGGGAUGGACUGACCGCUGGUGCACCUGUUGGGGAGCAACCCCAUCGCAGGGUAGCCAAGUCGGGCCGGGAUAAACGCUGAAGGCAUCUAAGCGUGAAGCCCCCCUCAAGAUGAGAUAUCUCAUACGCAAGUAGUAAGACCCCUUGA